Megalobrama amblycephala (Wuchang bream) is the source of this 1984-nucleotide long non-coding RNA. RefSeq lists it as uncharacterized. Lineage: Eukaryota; Metazoa; Chordata; Actinopteri; Cypriniformes; Xenocyprididae. The transcript has 3 exons. The record is from RefSeq and is a predicted model, not a curated record.
CUUUAAUGGCAAUUAAUAGGUCCUUUUCAUUGCCAUUAAAGUGUAAUAAGCUUGAUAAACAUGCUUGUUUUAUAAGAAAAAUUUCAAAUGGCACUUAAAGGCUUUUGCAUCUGAAGUCUUCAAUUAUUAUUGUACAUAACUGAUAUAGCAUUGUAUUAGCAACAAUUUCCUUCACUGUUUUGUUUCUUUACGCUUUAUUAAAAGAAAAAAAAAAAAAGAAAGAAAGAAACUUCCCCCCAAUGUUCAAGACAUGGUUAGCUUGGUUUAUGUAAUGGAGAAUAUACAAUAUUGCCACAAUGUUCCAUAAUAAAGGAGUAACAUUAUCAAAACAACAUUUGUAAAAUGUGGAUAUUAUUCCAGAUUGUGAUGAAGUUUGGGCCAGAUCAUCUUUACAUCUGGCACUUCUGUUUUGGUUCUGGGUCUGGCUGGCAUCAACACCAUUGUGUGAAACAGCAUUGGGCUGAACUCAAAAGAAACAACAUAUAAUAAGAUACAAAAUAUAAUAAGAAACAAAAGAUGAAAUGCAUUAUUUUAGCUGAACACUGGCUUGACUGCAGAAGUGAGAUGAAUUCUGGGGGAAAGGAAAGUCUCGUGUUUUGCUGAACUGUUGCGUGAACGUGUUUACCAUAGGGCAGGGAUGGGCAACUUUGAUAUUGACGAGGGCCAACAUUUUUUCUCCUUGAUACCUGGGGACCAGAUUACUAAUCCACACUCGCACCUUUUACACUGUCUUACUCAAUUUACUUUUUACUAAGGGAAAUUUAUGUAUAAUUAAUGUCAUUUGUUUUAAAAAGAUUGUAUUAACUGUAGCCUAAAUGGGGAAACUUUGUUUUCAGUUGGCAAGCAAUAUUAAAGGGAUAGUUCACCCAAAAAAAUUUAAUUCUGUCAUCAUUUACCUACCCUCAAGUUUCUGUUGAACAAAGAAGAUAUUUUGAGGAAUGUUUGCUUUGGGUCUAAUACUGUGGAAGUCAAUGGUGCCCCAGAACUGUUCAGUUUCCCACAUUCUUCUGAAUAUCUUCUUUUGUGUUGAACAGAACAAAUACAUUUAUACAGGUUUGGAACAACUUGAGGGUGUGUAAAUAAUGACAUUUUUAUUUUUGGGUGAAUUAUCCCUUUAAUAUCUUUAUUAACAAUAUUAACAUCUCAAUGGCAUUUUCUGUAAAUUUGCAACAAACAAAUGUAGCUACAGUUUAUAUUUGAUACAUUUUGAACAUUUUCAACUCAGCCUCGUUAAAAAGUGCUUAUUUUAAAAUAUGACAAUCUACUGGGUGUUUACAGGAGACGAGAGGCGCUGAUUGGGCCAUGGUAGAUCGACGCGUAAAUCCACCAAUCACAGCGUGCUUUUCUCGUGACGUAGGAACAUUUGAAAUUGACGAACAGCGCGAAUGGUAGUUGAAGAAAUUGGCGCAAAAUGUCCCUGGUCUGAUUGUCUUUUUGACGGAAAAAGCGAGUACGGACUCGUUCACAAACAGAGUCGCGGCAGAUACAGAGUUGUGAUGGAGGAUGUUUUACCCGCUGGGACAGUUUGUGGCCCAAACAACAGAACUGUUCUGGUCAACGGAACUCUGCCUUCAACAAUAAAUACUGGAACAAUCCAAACGGCCUACUUAAAUAUGGACACUGAUGAUGCAACAAAAAGUCUUCAUUUACAACAAAGGCUCUGAGGAAAAACUCUACACAUAGACGGCUCAAUGCUGCUAACUGGCAGAGCAGCUGGAAAACUAAAAGACAAGAAAAGAAGAACAUUAAUACGGACGACUGUAUUAUUUUUCUUCAAGAACCAGGUCAAGCAAAGACAGUGAUGAGCACUCAGAGCAAACACAGCAGUCAGACGCAGGAUUACACACUGGACUUUAGAGUUCUUCAACAUGUGAUGUUGGACAUUCACUGUUUCUAAAGCCAAUAAUUUAUGUGGAUGCCAUUUAUAGACCUGUUAGAUUUUGUUUUAUUUUUGAGAUUAAUAAAAUUGUAUGUUUUAACAAUG